UAUUGAAUAAACUUGAUCAGGUUGUUCUGCUGGCCCUCCCUCCUGGGGGGGUAUGUGCACACCUGUCAUCUUUAUAUUCUCCCAACUGUGCACCUUUUGUAGACCUGAUUGAAAUUGAUUGAUUCGUCUUUCGAGUUGGGGACUGCUGCGCUUUUCUCAAGUCGGCUUUCCCUUGUAUUUUUUUCAGGUCUAUGUCAUUAUCACAAACCUAUGAAUCUGUUUUAGAAUGUUGAAUUGGGUCCUUUUGUACCUAUAAAGUUAAAUAUACAACUUUCAGCAACGGAUCUCUUGGCUCUCGCAUCGAUGAAGAACGCAGCGAAAUGCGAUAAGUAAUGUGAAUUGCAGAAUUCAGUGAAUCAUCGAAUCUUUGAACGCAUCUUGCGCUCCUUGGUAUUCCGAGGAGCAUGCCUGUUUGAGUGUCAUCUUAAUCCUCAAAACCACAUUUGAUAGUGUGGCUUUGGAAGUGGGGGUAUAAUUUGCAGGCCUCGUCUUAAAAACAUGAAGUCUGCUCCCCUGAAAUGCAUUAGUGGUAUCUGAGCAGAGAACUACUACAGGUGUGAUAAUUUAUCUAUGCCUUGGUAAUACUGCAUGAACGGAU
This 598-nucleotide ribosomal RNA is filed under the name Inocybe sp. TO-2011. RNAcentral's name for it is "eukaryotic LSU rRNA". The stretch from base 269 to 422 matches the Rfam family "5.8S ribosomal RNA". The record is from RNAcentral. Lineage: Eukaryota; Fungi; Basidiomycota; Agaricomycetes; Agaricales; Inocybaceae.